Molecule: non-coding RNA, 652 nt
Organism: Pantherophis guttatus
Lineage: Eukaryota; Metazoa; Chordata; Lepidosauria; Squamata; Colubridae
Source: RefSeq, a predicted model, not a curated record
CUGGUCUGUUUGAUUUAUCUACUGCCUCAGUAACAAUACAUAAAAUAAUAAUACAAUUGCAUUAAUCACAAAUAUCAAGGAUUGAUGCUACUGGCUCCAUGGUCAAUAUCCAAAGGCUUUCCAGAAGAAUCAGAUUUUUAUAAGCUAUUUGAAGACUAUGAGAGCAGAGUCCAUCCUCACCUCAGGGGACAGACAAGAUAGCGCAGAGAAUAACCACCACAGAGCCCUCUCUUGAGGAGUGAGAAUGAUGGGAGCAGGAGAGUUUCUUUGCGUAACUGUUUUCAGCGAUCAAACCGGUCAGUCCUAGAGGAGAUCAACCCUGAUUUCUUUUUAGAAGGCCAAAUCCUGAAGAUGAAACUCAAAUACUUAAUGAGAAGGAAUGACUCACUGGAGAAGAAGAGCCUAAUGCUGGGAAAGAUUGAGGGCAAAAGAAGAAGGAGACGGCAGAGAAUGGCUGGAUGGAGUCACUGAAGCAGUAGGCGUGAGCUUAAAUGAACUCCAGAGGAUGGUAGAGGACAGGAAGGCCUGGAGGAACAUUGUCCAUGGGGUCACGAUGGGUCGGAAACGACUUCACAACUAACAACAACUGUCCAAUUCCCAAUCACUCUAAAUAGUUCACAAAUAUAAAAUUAAAAAUAUUUUGUUUAUGAAA